Molecule: transfer RNA, 85 nt
Filed under: Felis catus (domestic cat)
Lineage: Eukaryota; Metazoa; Chordata; Mammalia; Carnivora; Felidae
Rfam family: tRNA
About the family: Transfer RNA (tRNA) molecules are approximately 80 nucleotides in length. Their secondary structure includes four short double-helical elements and three loops (D, anti-codon, and T loops).
Source: Rfam by way of RNAcentral
ACCUGGGUGGCUCAGUCGGUUGAGCUUCUGACUUCAGCUCAGGUCAUGAUCUCAUGGUUCGUGGGUUCAAGCCCCACAUUGGGCU